RNAcentral lists this ribosomal RNA (459 nucleotides) under uncultured bacterium. RNAcentral's name for it is "partial 16S ribosomal RNA". It matches the Rfam family "Bacterial small subunit ribosomal RNA", at positions 28 to 507 of the family's 1533-position model. The record is from RNAcentral.
GAUGAACGCUGGCGGCGCGCCUAACACAUGCAAGUCGAACGGCACCCCUCCUCGGAGGGAAGCGAGUGGCGAACGGCUGAGUAACACGUGGAGAACCUGCCCCCUCCCCCGGGAUAGCCGCCCGAAAGGACGGGUAAUACCGGAUACCCCGGGGUGCCGCAUGGCACCCCGGCUAAAGCCCCGACGGGAGGGGAUGGCUCCGCGGCCCAUCAGGUAGACGGCGGGGUGACGGCCCACCGUGCCGACAACGGGUGGCCGGGUUGAGAGACCGACCGGCCAGAUGGGGACUGAGACACGGCCCAGACUCCUACGGGAGGCAGCAGUGGGGAAUCUUGCGCAAGGGGGGGAACCCUGACGCAGCGACGCCGCGUGCGGGACGGAGGCCUUCGGGUCGUAAACCGCUUUCAGCAGGGAAGAGUCAAGACUGUACCUGCAGAAGAAGCCCCGGCUAACUACGUG